Molecule: transfer RNA, 63 nt
Filed under: Rattus norvegicus (Norway rat)
Lineage: Eukaryota; Metazoa; Chordata; Mammalia; Rodentia; Muridae
Rfam family: tRNA
About the family: Transfer RNA (tRNA) molecules are approximately 80 nucleotides in length. Their secondary structure includes four short double-helical elements and three loops (D, anti-codon, and T loops).
Source: Rfam by way of RNAcentral
GGGGACUUAGCUCAGUGGUAGAGCGCUUGCCUAGCAAGCACAAGGCCCUGGGUUUAGUCCCCA